Long non-coding RNA from Pundamilia nyererei, 885 nucleotides. RefSeq lists it as uncharacterized. The transcript is spliced from 4 exons. The record is from RefSeq and is a predicted model, not a curated record. NCBI's taxonomy places the organism in Eukaryota, Metazoa, Chordata, Actinopteri, Cichliformes, Cichlidae.
AUUUGGGUUAAUUACGCGGUGUUCUAAUUUUACUCUAAUUCUUCGCCAUGAAAGCUCUGUUUUAAAUGAAUAUUUAAAAUAGAGAAAUAUAGAUUUUUUUUUUUUUUUCUUUGCGGAUUUAUUCCUGCAUGCAGUAUACGAGCUUCAGUCUGAAGGAUGCCAUCAGAUCAUCACGAGGUGAAUGGGGGCCUGAGUGAUAGACCGAGAACCUUUCAUCUCACCCAGUGAGUGUAAAUAGCUGUCAUGUUUGAUUGGCGGUUUGACGUGCACGUGAUGCCCUGGAAGAGGGGAAGAAAUUCAGUGAGGACGCGGUGCAUGACGGUUUCUCUGUCUGCAAACUAAAGAGGUUGUGCGUGCCAGCAGAAACCAUUCAUGAAAGAUGCACCCCUGAGGCUUACAGAGGUACACUCCAUCAUCUGCUAAGCAGGUAAUAGGAAAUGGCACUGACCCCUCCUGAUCCCCCCGAUUACCUUCGUGAAGCGUGAAUGUGGUAUGGAAUCACACAUCAGGAGACGAGUUGUAAUUAUUUCUGCGAUGCCAUCAGCAUGGAUCAAUCACUCAGGGAGGCUGCGAGUGGAACGCCGCUCACAGCCAUAGAUGGAGCCAGCAGCGACCAUCUUUGACUGACAGCUUUGGUAAUUAAGUGAUUGUAUAGACCCCUCCGACUGUUAUAACAACCUUGUCAGGGCCAGCCUGUGUUUGGAACACACUCAAAUCAAUGUGUUCUCCACUCCCUAAGCAUUUCUGAUCAUGUACCUCAGACAGAAGAACUAUUUGCAUGGACGCUGCUUUCCUUUGAUAAUUGACAUGGCAGUAAAAGAGAUUUUAAAACACACAUUUAAAAAAUAUACUUAACAUUAACAUUUUUAGCAUAUUUGUUUCUCA